AACAUAGAAGUAAAAUUUACAAUUAGUUUCGACCUAAAAUUAAAGGAAAAUGACCUUCAUGUUU
RNAcentral lists this transfer RNA (64 nucleotides) under Psammotettix sp. EMHAU-2015-Zz060503. Its description in RNAcentral is "tRNA-Arg". Lineage: Eukaryota; Metazoa; Arthropoda; Insecta; Hemiptera; Cicadellidae. The record is from RNAcentral.